This 496-nucleotide ribosomal RNA is filed under the name uncultured bacterium. RNAcentral's name for it is "bacterial SSU rRNA". It matches the Rfam family "Bacterial small subunit ribosomal RNA", at positions 28 to 514 of the family's 1533-position model. The record is from RNAcentral.
GAUGAACGCUAGCUACAGGCUUAACACAUGCAAGUCGAGGGGAAACGAUAUUGGAAGCUUGCUUCUGAUAGGCGUCGACCGGCGCACGGGUGAGUAACGCGUAUCCAACCUGCCCAUCACUUGGGGAUAACCUUGCGAAAGUAAGACUAAUACCCAAUGACGUCUCUAGAAGACAUCUGAAAGAGAUUAAAGAUUUAUCGGUGAUGGAUGGGGAUGCGUCUGAUUAGCUUGUUGGCGGGGUAACGGCCCACCAAGGCGACGAUCAGUGGGGGUUCUGAGAGGAAGGUCCCCCACAUUGGAACUGAGACACGGUCCAAACUCCUACGGGAGGCAGCAGUGAGGAAUAUUGGUCAAUGGACGAGAGUCUGAACCAGCCAAGUAGCGUGCAGGAUGAGGCCCUAUGGGUUGUAAACUGCUUUUAUAAGGGAAUAAAGUGGGAGUCGUGACUCUUUUUGCAUGUACCUUAUGAAUAGACCGGCUAAUUCCGUGCCAGCAG